AUUUAAAAAUGUUAAGGAACCCAAUUUGUCCAAUCAUCUUUAACUCUUGCUGUAUAAACCAACCUAUAGAAAAAAAUAACAUAAAAAUAGUUACUAAUAAAGUUGUGUUGGAAUCUUGCAGAGCUCUCUCACCAGCUGCAAACUAAACAACAGACAAAGUUACAACUACUGUAAAGAAAAGGAGCGUCUCGUCGUUAUAUGGAUAAGAAACAAUCUGGAAAGGAGGCUGCUGAGGAACUGACUCGGGAGUCACUAAUUGCCAUCUCUUACUCUGUACCGGAUACGGAUAAUUCUGAGGAACCUUCCUACCCCAACAAAGGCAGUGACAACGAGAUUGCAGAUCUUAAGGAUGAAAAAACUGAAAAUAUUAUAUCUGAGUUAAUCUCAAUUUCCUAUGCAGAAUUGCCUGAGAUUAACACCCCACCAGUUUGUCCUGAAGGACCCAAAGCUUGAGAGCUUAGCCUUGCAUCAGUUAUCUAACUUAUGGUUGCUAUAUGUAUACACAGAACACACAAGUGUAUGAUGUUUUUUCUGCUUAAAGAUAAUAUGUUAUGCUGACCUAGAUUUAUGUUCUGUAUGUGGAUAAUGCGAAUUGUGCUUCUCCCGGAAUUAAUACAUUAGAAGACCUUUUAAUUUUAAA
Daucus carota subsp. sativus is the source of this 640-nucleotide long non-coding RNA. RefSeq lists it as uncharacterized. The transcript is spliced from 2 exons. Lineage: Eukaryota; Viridiplantae; Streptophyta; Magnoliopsida; Apiales; Apiaceae. The record is from RefSeq and is a predicted model, not a curated record.